RNAcentral lists this transfer RNA (72 nucleotides) under bacterium. RNAcentral describes it as "tRNA-Thr". It matches the Rfam family "tRNA". From Rfam's summary of the family: Transfer RNA (tRNA) molecules are approximately 80 nucleotides in length. The record is from RNAcentral.
GCCGGAGUAGCUCAGCGGUAGAGCAACACUUUUGUAAAGUGAAGGUCGGGGGUUCGACUCCCUUCUCCGGCU